This 253-nucleotide ribosomal RNA is filed under the name uncultured bacterium. Its description in RNAcentral is "partial 16S ribosomal RNA". It matches the Rfam family "Bacterial small subunit ribosomal RNA", at positions 524 to 776 of the family's 1533-position model. The record is from RNAcentral.
UACGAAGGGGGCUAGCGUUGUUCGGAAUUACUGGGCGUAAAGCGCGCGCAGGCGGUCUUCCAAGUCAGUGGUGAAAGCCUGGAGCUCAACUCCAGAACUGCCAUUGAAACUGUUAGACUUGAGUACGAGAGAGGUGAGUGGAAUUCCCAGUGUAGAGGUGAAAUUCGUAGAUAUUGGGAAGAACCCCAGUGGCGAAGGCGGCUCCCUGGCUCGUAACUGACGCUCAGGCGCGACAGCGUGGGGAUCAAACAGG